This 602-nucleotide ribosomal RNA is filed under the name Escherichia coli. RNAcentral describes it as "bacterial SSU rRNA". It matches the Rfam family "Bacterial small subunit ribosomal RNA", at positions 110 to 708 of the family's 1533-position model. Lineage: Bacteria; Pseudomonadati; Pseudomonadota; Gammaproteobacteria; Enterobacterales; Enterobacteriaceae. The record is from RNAcentral.
GUAAUGUCUGGGAAACUGCCUGAUGGAGGGGGAUAACUACUGGAAACGGUAGCUAAUACCGCAUAACGUCGCAAGACCAAAGAGGGGGACCUUCGGGCCUCUUGCCAUCGGAUGUGCCCAGAUGGGAUUAGCUAGUAGGUGGGGUAACGGCUCACCUAGGCGACGAUCCCUAGCUGGUCUGAGAGGAUGACCAGCCACACUGGAACUGAGACACGGUCCAGACUCCUACGGGAGGCAGCAGUGGGGAAUAUUGCACAAUGGGCGCAAGCCUGAUGCAGCCAUGCCGCGUGUAUGAAGAAGGCCUUCGGGUUGUAAAGUACUUUCAGCGGGGAGGAAGGGAGUAAAGUUAAUACCUUUGCUCAUUGACGUUACCCGCAGAAGAAGCACCGGCUAACUCCGUGCCAGCAGCCGCGGUAAUACGGAGGGUGCAAGCGUUAAUCGGAAUUACUGGGCGUAAAGCGCACGCAGGCGGUUUGUUAAGUCAGAUGUGAAAUCCCCGGGCUCAACCUGGGAACUGCAUCUGAUACUGGCAAGCUUGAGUCUCGUAGAGGGGGGUAGAAUUCCAGGUGUAGCGGUGAAAUGCGUAGAGAUCUGGAGGAAUA